AACCUCCAGUUCCCUUUCUCAUCGGAUCACAACACUGGUCUGGGAGGUCAUAAAAGGAAGAAAAUAAACAUUAAAGUUGCCCCUCAGUGCUAUUGGAACUCAGGCUAGUUUCAAACAGGC
Molecule: small nucleolar RNA, 120 nt
Organism: Echinops telfairi (small Madagascar hedgehog)
Lineage: Eukaryota; Metazoa; Chordata; Mammalia; Afrosoricida; Tenrecidae
Source: Ensembl